Molecule: unclassified non-coding RNA, 253 nt
Filed under: uncultured Gammaproteobacteria bacterium
Lineage: Bacteria; Pseudomonadati; Pseudomonadota; Gammaproteobacteria
Description: contains 16S-23S intergenic spacer region
Rfam family: Bacterial small subunit ribosomal RNA
Source: RNAcentral
UACGGAGGGUGCGAGCGUUAAUCGGAAUUACUGGGCGUAAAGGGUGCGUAGGUGGAUAAUUAAGUUAGAUGUGAAAGUUCUGGGCUCAACCUAGGAAUUGCAUUUAAUACUGGAUAUCUAGAGUAUUGCAGAGGGUAGUGGAAUUUCCAGUGUAGCGGUGAAAUGCGUAGAUAUUGGAAGGAACAUCGGUUGCGAAGGCGGCUACCUGGGCAAAUACUGACACUGAGGCACGAAAGCGUGGGUAGCAAACAGG